CCUACGGGUGGCAGCAGUAGGGAAUCUUGCGCAAUGGGCGAAAGACUGACGCAGCAACGCCGCGUGAUUGACUAAGGCCUUCGGGGCGUAAAGAUCUGUCAGUGGGGACGAAACUUGACGUUACUCACAGAGGAAGCACUGGCUAACUCUGUGCAAGCAGCCGCGGCAAUCCGGAGGCUGCAAGCGUUGUUCGGAUUCAUUGGGCGUAAAGAGUUCGUAGGUGGUGUAUUAAGUCUGAUGGUAAAGGCUGAAGCUCAACUUCUGUGCGGCACGGGAUACUGGUAAACUUGAGUGCGGUAGAGGAGAGGGGAAUUCCUGGUGUAGCGGUGAAAUGCGUAGAUAUCAGGAGGAACAUCGGUGGCGAAGGCGCUUCUCUGGUCCGUAACUGACGCUGAGGAGCGAAAGCCUGGGUAGCAAAUGGGAUUAGAUACCCCGGUAGUC
Molecule: ribosomal RNA, 441 nt
Filed under: uncultured bacterium
Lineage: Bacteria
Description: partial 16S ribosomal RNA
Rfam family: Bacterial small subunit ribosomal RNA
Source: RNAcentral